RNAcentral lists this ribosomal RNA (490 nucleotides) under uncultured bacterium. RNAcentral describes it as "partial 16S ribosomal RNA". It matches the Rfam family "Bacterial small subunit ribosomal RNA", at positions 28 to 507 of the family's 1533-position model. The record is from RNAcentral.
GAUGAACGCUAGCGGUAGGCUUAACACAUGCAAGUCGAGGGGAAGCAUGGGCUUAGCUUGCUAAGACUGAUAGCGACCGGCGCACGAGUGCGUAACGCGUAUGCUACUUGCCUCACAGAGGGGGAUAACCCGUCGCAAGACGGACUACUACCGCGUACUCUCAAUCUUUGGCUUCAAAGGGAAAGGAAAUCAAAUUCGCUCUGAGAUAGGCAUGCGUCCCAUUAGCUCGUUGGUGAGGUAAAGCCUCACCAAGGCGACGAUGGGGAUGGGAACUGAGAGGGGGAACCCCCACACUGGUACUGAGACACGGACCAGUAUCCUAGGGGAGGCAGGAGAGAGGAAUAUUGGGCGAUGGGCGAGGGCCGGACCCAGCCAAGUCGCGUGAAGGAUGACUGUCUUAGGGAUUGUAAACUUCUUUGAUACGAGAUAAACAAGAGUCACGUGUGACUCCUUGAAUGUACCGUAUGAAUAAGCAUCGGCUAACUCCGUG